GAUCAUGGCUCAGGAUGAACGCUAGCUACAGGCUUAACACAUGCAAGUCGAACGAAGCACUUUAUUUGAUUUCUUCGGAAUGAAGAUUUUGUGACUGAGUGGCGGACGGGUGAGUAACGCGUGGGUAACCUGCCUCAUACAGGGGGAUAACAGUUGGAAACGACUGCUAAUACCGCAUAAGCGCACAGGGUCGCAUGACCUGGUGUGAAAAACUCCGGUGGUAUGAGAUGGACCCGCG
RNAcentral lists this ribosomal RNA (238 nucleotides) under uncultured bacterium. RNAcentral's name for it is "partial 16S ribosomal RNA". It matches the Rfam family "Bacterial small subunit ribosomal RNA", at positions 15 to 235 of the family's 1533-position model. The record is from RNAcentral.